This is a long non-coding RNA of Cyanistes caeruleus (blue tit), 987 nucleotides long. RefSeq lists it as uncharacterized. The record is from RefSeq and is a predicted model, not a curated record. NCBI's taxonomy places the organism in Eukaryota, Metazoa, Chordata, Aves, Passeriformes, Paridae.
GGCUGGUCAGAGCACCACCCACCCUGGCCUUGAACAGUGCCAGGGAUGGCAGUAAAAUGUUAAUAAUGGCUGAGUGUCUGUGCUCAGAAAGCUCUUCUCCCUCAACCUGCUAGAUCUCUUGCCAAGCUGUCCUCAUCCUAUGAACCACUGUCAAGCAAACCAACUCUUCCCUGCAGCUCAGGCCUGCAUGGACAGGGAAAUUUCAGCUAGAGGCAUCCUAAUUUUUCCCAGUGUUUUACAGAAGCCUCACAAAAUCAUUAACCUGUAGGCAGCAGCCAGGAUCUCAAAGUCCAGCACAGGACCUGGUGAGUGCUACAGAGCCUCAGAAGAAGACUGAACCCAAGCUGCCUUCAAAGCAAAUUUGAGACCAGAAGGAAGCAAACAUGAAACAUGAGAAGUUCAGCUCUCUGCUCCUGUAUGACAAACAGGACUUACAGAAAAUCCCACUAGAAAGGGCUGACUGACAAUGUCCAGUGACAAAAAUGGAGGGAAAACGCAGGCAGCCUCAUGUUAUUUUCUUUAUCUACCAAGCUGAAUAUUUUCCCUUCUGGUUACUGCUUCAGAAUCCUUGACUCUGAAAAAGAGUCUGGAGAUGAGCAAUCCAGCACCACAAGAAGCCAAAGGAGACAUGUCCAUUCUCUUCAUCAAAGUUUGGUGCAAGCCUUUGGUUUGCAUCCCACAUGACAUACUCUACUCAUGGGAGUAACAUUAUGAUCUGCUCACCGAGACACUGAAAUUUAUGUGUGAAAAGAAUGGCAUCAAAACUAAGUAUUGCCACCUAAACCAAAAUGAAGGUGCACAAAACAGAAACAAGGUAAUGUGUGUGCCAUUAAAAUCCUGACACCAGAUGCCAGAAGUAGCUUGAAUUUGCUGAGGUACUCCUGCUGUUCCUUUUCAUCAGGCAUGGGGAAAUACUGCUUUUGCAGAUAAACAUUGUGAUGUGGUGAAUGUCCAGAAUUUAAUGAAGUCCAUUAUAACAGAUGAAAA